This 83-nucleotide transfer RNA is filed under the name Lachnospiraceae bacterium. RNAcentral describes it as "tRNA-Leu". It matches the Rfam family "tRNA". From Rfam's summary of the family: Transfer RNA (tRNA) molecules are approximately 80 nucleotides in length. Their secondary structure includes four short double-helical elements and three loops (D, anti-codon, and T loops). RNAcentral also lists the same sequence under 1 other name. Lineage: Bacteria; Bacillati; Bacillota; Clostridia; Lachnospirales; Lachnospiraceae. The record is from RNAcentral.
GCAGGAAUGGCGGAAUGGCAGACGCGCCGGCUUCAGGUGCCGGUGGUAGCAAUAUCGUGUGGGUUCAAGUCCCAUUUCCUGCA